AUUGAACGCUGGCGGCAUGCUUUACACAUGCCAGUCGAACGGCAGCGGGGAGGAGCUUGCUUCUCUGCCGGCGAGUGGCGCACGGGUGAGUAAUACAUCGGAACGUGUCGAGAAGAGGGGGAUAACCACCCGAAAGGGUGGCUAAUACCGCAUAAAUUCUGAGGAAGAAAGCUGGGGACCUAGGAAUAGGCCUAGCGCUUUUUGAGCGGCCGAUGUCGGAUUAGCUAGUUGGUGAGGUAAAGGCUCACCAAGGCGAAGAUCUGUAGCGGGUCUGAGAGGAUGAUCCGCCACACUGGGACUGAGACACGGCCCAGACUCCUACGGGAGGCAGCAGUGGGGAAUAUUGGACAAUGGGGGCAACCCUGAUCCAGCCAUGCCGCGUGUAUGAAGAAGGCCUUAGGGUUGUAAAGUACUUUUGUUAGGGAAGAAAAGUCAGCUGUGAAUAAUGGCUGAUACUGACGGUACCUAAAGAAUAAGCACCGGCUAACUACGUG
This 494-nucleotide ribosomal RNA is filed under the name uncultured bacterium. RNAcentral's name for it is "partial 16S ribosomal RNA". It matches the Rfam family "Bacterial small subunit ribosomal RNA", at positions 30 to 507 of the family's 1533-position model. The record is from RNAcentral.